Molecule: non-coding RNA, 428 nt
Organism: Camellia sinensis
Lineage: Eukaryota; Viridiplantae; Streptophyta; Magnoliopsida; Ericales; Theaceae
Source: RefSeq, a predicted model, not a curated record
GAAACUCUCAAGAGACUUGUGGGGGAACUGAAGAAAUCUCCUGAAGAUGUUUUUGAUGCUCUGAAAAAUCAAAUUGUCGAUAUGGUCUUCACUGCUCACCCUACUCAAUCUAUCCGCAGAUCUUUGCUUCAAAAGCACGGAAGGAUUCGUAAUUGUUUAACCCAAUUAUACGCCAAAGAUAUCACUCCUGAUAAUAAGCAAGAACUUGAUGAGGCUCUACAGAGGGAGGAACAUCAAUUAUGAGUUGCACCACCCACCAUUGUCAUUAGAUUGAGAAGGGUUAGGUGGACAGAAGUUUGUAGCAGUCACAGAAGUCACUUUCGUAGACUAAAACUCAAGAUAAGUAAGAUGUGAAGUUAUGGGUCAAAGCAAUGCAAUUUUGUUCUGCAAAAUCAGUAAUUCUAAAAUCACAUAUUUUUUUACUUAUU